UGGGGAAUAUUGGACAAUGGGCGCAAGCCUGAUCCAGCAAUACCGCGUGUGUGAAGAAGGCCUUCGGGUUGUAAAGCACUUUCAGUAGGGAAGAAAUAACUAAGGUUAAUACCCUUAGAAGCUGACAUUACCUACAGAAGAAGCACCGGCUAACUCUGUGCCAGCAGCCGCGGUAAUACAGAGGGUGCAAGCGUUAAUCGGAUUUACUGGGCGUAAAGCGCUCGUAGGCGGAUAUUUUAGUCGGAUGUGAAAGCCCCGGGCUCAACCUGGGAACUGCAUUCGAUACUGGAUAUCUAGAGUAUGGUAGAGGAAAGUGGAACUCCCGGUGUAGCGGUGAAAUGCGUAGAUAUCGGGAAGAACACCAGUGGCGAAGGCGACUUUCUGGACCAAUACUGACGCUGAGGAGCGAAAGCGUGGGGAGCAAACAGG
This 429-nucleotide ribosomal RNA is filed under the name uncultured Coxiella sp. RNAcentral describes it as "bacterial SSU rRNA". It matches the Rfam family "Bacterial small subunit ribosomal RNA", at positions 355 to 776 of the family's 1533-position model. The record is from RNAcentral. Lineage: Bacteria; Pseudomonadati; Pseudomonadota; Gammaproteobacteria; Legionellales; Coxiellaceae.